This 103-nucleotide microRNA precursor is filed under the name Marmota monax (woodchuck). The record is from RNAcentral. Lineage: Eukaryota; Metazoa; Chordata; Mammalia; Rodentia; Sciuridae.
AGUGGGAUAGCUGGGUCAAAUGGUGUUUCCAUUCCACGUUUUUUGAGGGAUCUUCAUAUUGCUUUCCAUAGUGGUUGCACCAAUUUGCAGUCUCACCAGCAAU